This is a long non-coding RNA of Astatotilapia calliptera (eastern happy), 1593 nucleotides long. Lineage: Eukaryota; Metazoa; Chordata; Actinopteri; Cichliformes; Cichlidae. The record is from Ensembl.
GUUGCAGAAAAUAAUAGGUGAUUUGCAUUGGAUAGAGGUGAACUGAAUUUCUACCCUGUCAGAGUUGGUUGUCAUGAAUGAUUCAGAUUUAUGUACCACCUUUAUUAACCAUUUUGUUUCAUUUUCAAGCUAAGGUUCAGUUUUCAAAUUAUCUAAUUUAUGAAUGGCUAAAUUAAUUCUUCAUCAUCAGCAGAGUAGGUGUUCAUGAAUAAUGUAAAUUUUAUGCAGAGAACUUGCGGGUCUGCUGCUAGAGGACAGAGGGGAAUCUGGACUGAAAGGAAAAAUGGGUUUAUAUAAAAUAAUAUAUAAACCCAUACACAGUGAGACAAGUUAAGUUUUUAGUUCUUUUUGUAGCUUCUGGUAGAUUUUGGUUUUUUAACCAGAUGAUGGACCUGUUGUUAGGGGCAAAUAAUAAUGCAUAUAAAUACGCCAUAGAUUGUCAGUGAUACCAGUGAAGGUGGAGAUACUAAAAGCUCACUGUUUGGAUGCUCACUAAGCACAUGACCAUGCCACUGAGGAGUUUUUGAUCUUUCCGGCACUCCUGCUGCUGUAGGUGGUGAUGGUGGGAGGGCUAAAUUUUGAGGAUGUUUGUUCUGUCCAACACUUUCAUGCUAUGGCUGUAAUGACCAGUGAAGCCUCUGGGGCUGUCCCCACUUUAAUCUGUCCUGGUUAGUUUAAUACUUUUCAGCAGUUUUUUGUUUGAACAAAGGAUCAAAAAGAAAGGCAGUGUUUUGUACUCUAGAGGAAAGAACUGAAAAAUAAAAUGCUGACAUGGUCUUCAGUAAUUUCUCCUUCAAGUUUUUUUUUUUUUUUUUAAUUUCCCCUUGACUUUAUCUCGACUGACCUGAGCUACUCUUUCAUGCCCAGUGGUGCCAGAUUGGUCAACAUACUUUCUUUUCUUGUGUUUCCCUCUUUCUUCUUACCUUUUCAGUACACUUAGGAAUUUGUGAAUGAAUUAUUGAUUCAUCUACAAAUGAAUCAAUAAUCCAUUUGCCGCUUAAGUGACAAAAUGUUAAACUGAAAAAUCAUAAAUUGCAUCUAAAAACAGGCUGUGAUGCCAUGCUUUGGUCAAUAGAGUCCCAUUGUUAUCCUUCCAUCACCACCAUAUUGGUUUUUUGAAACUGGAUGUGAUAAGUGAGGGGUGGGAACAGUUAAAGUUUGCUGCAACCACACACAACUUUGUGACUUGUCACAAGUUAGACCCUAAAGCAUGUUUUACACUAAUGUUUGAUUCUAAUGUUGGUCAUAAUUUACUUAAUUCAUAUAACUUUUAUUAAAUAAGAAUCAAAACUAUUAUUUUGUUUGUUUUUAUGAUUUAUUAUUGUGUUUUUGUGUCCACACAAACAGGAUUCUUAGGAAAAAAAACCCAUUUUACUAGCAGCUUCUUGCAAAGAACAUUGUCAAUCACAUAAGAACUGAAUUGGAAAAUAGUGGUAACAUGUCUUGGAAUGAAUUCAUAUUUGACAUUUUUGCCUUUUUUUAUCUACAGAGAAUGUCAGGAGAGAUGUAAGAGUAUACAGCUAUGUAGAAAUCAUGGUGGAGGCUCUGUCAUGGUUUGGCACCUGAUUGGCAGCAGCUUAAUUUUUCAACAUG